CGGGUGAGUAACACGUAUCCAACCUGCCGUCUACUCUUGGCCAGCCUUCUGAAAGGAAGAUUAAUCCAGGAUGGCAUCAUGAGUUCACAUGUCCGCAUGAUUAAAGGUAUUUUCCGGUAGACGAUGGGGAUGCGUUCCAUUAGAUAGUAGGCGGGAUAACGGCCCACCUAGUCAACGAUGGAUAGGGGUUCUGAGAGGAAGGUCCCCCACAUUGGAACUGAGACACGGUCCAA
This 233-nucleotide ribosomal RNA is filed under the name uncultured bacterium. Its description in RNAcentral is "partial 16S ribosomal RNA". It matches the Rfam family "Bacterial small subunit ribosomal RNA", at positions 103 to 334 of the family's 1533-position model. The record is from RNAcentral.